AGAGUUUGAUCCUGGCUCAGAGCGAACGCUGGCGGCGUGCUUAACACAUGCAAGUCGAACGCACAGCAUUCUGUAGUAAUACAGGGUGUGGGCGCGUGGCGAACGGGUGCGUAACACGUGGAUAACCUUCCUUGAGGUGGGGAAUAACCCAGUGAAAACUGGGCUAAUACCGCAUAACAUGACGAUGGCACAUGCUGUUGUCUUCAAAGGCGCAAGUCGCCACAAGAGGGAUCCGCGGCCGAUUAGCUUGUUGGCGAGGUAAUGGCUCACCAAGGCAAUGAUCGGUAGCCGGACUGAGAGGUUGGCCGGCCACACUGGAACUGAGACACGGUCCAGACUCCUACGGGAGGCAGCAGUGGGGAAUCUUGCACAAUGGACGAAAGUCUGAUGCACCAACGCCGCGUGGGGGAUGAAGCUUCUCGGAGUGUAAACCCCUUUCGACCCGGAAGAAUGCCCGCAAGGGUUUGACGGUACGGGUAUAAGAAGCCCCGGCUAACUACGUGCCAGCAGCCGCGGUAAUACGUAGGGGGCCAGCGUUGCUCGGAAUUACUGGGCGUAAAGGGUCUGUAGGCGGUGCGGCAAGUCGAUAGUGAAAUCCCUAGGCUUAACCUAAGAGCUGCUAGCAAAACUGCCGUGCUAGAGUGUGAGAGAGGCGAGUGGAAUUACGGGUGUAGCGGUGAAAUGCUUAGAUGUCCGUAGGAACAUCCGAGGCGAAAGCGGCUCGCUGGAUCACAACUGACGCUGAGAGACGAAAGCUAGGGGAGCAAACAGGAUUAGAUACCC
Molecule: ribosomal RNA, 783 nt
Filed under: uncultured soil bacterium
Lineage: Bacteria
Description: bacterial SSU rRNA
Rfam family: Bacterial small subunit ribosomal RNA
Source: RNAcentral